UACGUAGGGGGCUAGCGUUGUCCGGAAUCAUUGGGCGUAAAGCGCGUGUAGGCGGCCCGGUAAGUCCGCUGUGAAAGUCGGGGGCUCAACCCUCGGAUGCCGGUGGAUACUGUCGGGCUCGAGUACGGAAGAGGCGAGUGGAAUUCCUGGUGUAGCGGUGAAAUGCGCAGAUAUCAGGAGGAACACCAAUUGCGAAGGCAGCUCCGCUGGGA
This 212-nucleotide ribosomal RNA is filed under the name uncultured bacterium. Its description in RNAcentral is "partial 16S ribosomal RNA". It matches the Rfam family "Bacterial small subunit ribosomal RNA", at positions 524 to 734 of the family's 1533-position model. The record is from RNAcentral.